AACCCUGACCCGCCUCAUUCGCCCAAAUCAUAACACACGCGAAAGGAGACUCACAAAAUUCCUAAAUCAAACACGUACUGUUCUUCUUCUCCAAAGGACACGCGAACCAAGCCCCAAAUUUCGUUCAAAUUCGGGUGAAUAAUUCCCAAAUCCCAACCACACGUCCCUCAUUCUCUCAUCUUGUCGUUUCUAAUGGUUUCUGAUGCAAGAUUUCCCUCCCCUCUCACUCGCUCGAAUUCGAGUUUUAUCCCACGAUUGGAAGGCUCUGGUGUGAGGCGUUGGAUUGAUUUCACUCAAUCUGAGCCCCACAUUCAUUAAGGAUUGGUCUGCAAAAGAAGACUUAUCUGAUUUUGUGAGGGGGAAUCUGGAAAAUUUGGAGAGAAGAAAAAGUUGAAACGUUUUUGGGAACUAAUAGUUUUUCUGAAUUUAUUUUUUUUGACGAAUUCUUUCAAAGUUUGAGAGAAACAUAUAUACAAUUUUUUUUCUUAUUUUUUGAAUCUAUAUUUGAGUUCCAAUGAGAUAAAACUAGAAGUUCAAGCUUCGUUUUCUACUGUCGUCUUGCUGAUUUGUUGCUGAACCUCGCUAGUAUUUGGAGUCGAGAGUUGUAUUGUCGAGUUUAUAAUUGUUAUAAAAGAAUAUUUGCAACUUCAGGUUCAAUUUUUCUCUCUUUAUUUCUAUGCAACUCUAUUUCGUUUCCAUGUUUUUUGAGCUAUGAGAUUCAGUCUGGAGUG
Molecule: long non-coding RNA, 731 nt
Filed under: Nicotiana benthamiana
Lineage: Eukaryota; Viridiplantae; Streptophyta; Magnoliopsida; Solanales; Solanaceae
Description: long non-coding RNA (NBEN_LNC029580)
Source: RNAcentral